Molecule: ribosomal RNA, 1428 nt
Filed under: Staphylococcus aureus
Lineage: Bacteria; Bacillati; Bacillota; Bacilli; Caryophanales; Staphylococcaceae
Description: bacterial SSU rRNA
Rfam family: Bacterial small subunit ribosomal RNA
Source: RNAcentral
AUGCAAGUCGAGCGAACGGACGAGAAGCUUGCUUCUCUGAUGUUAGCGGCGGACGGGUGAGUAACACGUGGAUAACCUACCUAUAAGACUGGGAUAACUUCGGGAAACCGGAGCUAAUACCGGAUAAUAUUUUGAACCGCAUGGUUCAAAAGUGAAAGACGGUCUUGCUGUCACUUAUAGAUGGAUCCGCGCUGCAUUAGCUAGUUGGUAAGGUAACGGCUUACCAAGGCAACGAUGCAUAGCCGACCUGAGAGGGUGAUCGGCCACACUGGAACUGAGACACGGUCCAGACUCCUACGGGAGGCAGCAGUAGGGAAUCUUCCGCAAUGGGCGAAAGCCUGACGGAGCAACGCCGCGUGAGUGAUGAAGGUCUUCGGAUCGUAAAACUCUGUUAUUAGGGAAGAACAUAUGUGUAAGUAACUGUGCACAUCUUGACGGUACCUAAUCAGAAAGCCACGGCUAACUACGUGCCAGCAGCCGCGGUAAUACGUAGGUGGCAAGCGUUAUCCGGAAUUAUUGGGCGUAAAGCGCGCGUAGGCGGUUUUUUAAGUCUGAUGUGAAAGCCCACGGCUCAACCGUGGAGGGUCAUUGGAAACUGGGAAAACUUGAGUGCAGAAGAGGAAAGUGGAAUUCCAUGUGUAGCGGUGAAAUGCGCAGAGAUAUGGAGGAACACCAGUGGCGAAGGCGACUUUCUGGUCYGUAACUGACGCUGAUGUGCGAAAGCGUGGGGAUCAAACAGGAUUAGAUACCCUGGUAGUCCACGCCGUAAACGAUGAGUGCUAAGUGUUAGGGGGUUUCCGCCCCUUAGUGCUGCAGCUAACGCAUUAAGCACUCCGCCUGGGGAGUACGACCGCAAGGUUGAAACUCAAAGGAAUUGACGGGGACCCGCACAAGCGGUGGAGCAUGUGGUUUAAUUCGAAGCAACGCGAAGAACCUUACCAAAUCUUGACAUCCUUUGACAACUCUAGAGAUAGAGCCUUCCCCUUCGGGGGACAAAGUGACAGGUGGUGCAUGGUUGUCGUCAGCUCGUGUCGUGAGAUGUUGGGUUAAGUCCCGCAACGAGCGCAACCCUUAAGCUUAGUUGCCAUCAUUAAGUUGGGCACUCUAAGUUGACUGCCGGUGACAAACCGGAGGAAGGUGGGGAUGACGUCAAAUCAUCAUGCCCCUUAUGAUUUGGGCUACACACGUGCUACAAUGGACAAUACAAAGGGCAGCGAAACCGCGAGGUCAAGCAAAUCCCAUAAAGUUGUUCUCAGUUCGGAUUGUAGUCUGCAACUCGACUACAUGAAGCUGGAAUCGCUAGUAAUCGUAGAUCAGCAUGCUACGGUGAAUACGUUCCCGGGUCUUGUACACACCGCCCGUCACACCACGAGAGUUUGUAACACCCGAAGCCGGUGGAGUAACCUUUUAGGAGCUAGCCGUCGAAGG